UAGCGCCUAAAAUACUCAGUGCGCAGCAGUUCUUUCUCUAAGCCUAGCGGCCUCAUUCUUUUCGCCUCGUUCCGAUCUCUUGGUCCAUUAUCUUUUCUGUGGGCAUGCGUCAUUGUUGGUCAGUGGGCAUACAUUUUGUGAUUUGAGGUACUACCAAUUUCUUCCCCUAGACGCCAAUCUCUCGCCUUUCUUUCUUUGCCAUGCAAGAUUUAGGGUUUUGAAGGUUGUCGACUGCUCCACCGCAACGGAAAUAGUGGAAAGGAGGGUUCUUUCGGAGUGGGAGUUGCCGAUUUGUGAGUGAUUAUUUCCGGAUUCGGUCUUCCAGGUGGAAAAGGGCAACUUUUUUUUUUCGCUUCUUUGAGCUUCCCGAAUUCGAUUGCCGAUUCUUGGUGGUGGUGUGGCUUUUCCGAGUGCGAUGGUGGAAAGCAACGCGGUGAACGCCUGUGAGUCAAAGGUGCCGCUUUUGAUGAGGAACAUAGCCAUUUAUUUGAUUAGCCCAGACUUUGAAACCCAUUGUGAUCAAGAUGUACAAUGCCUCGAAGGGUAUUGCCAAAGCAUCAAGUUUUAAGCAAUUAACGAUAUGUAUUGUACAUAUGUAUUAAAACAUGAAUGGAUAGUUCUUAUUAUUUGGAUUGUAAUCGUUGCAUUACUUUUUCCAUUAUAGUAUAGGGUAAUCUAAAACAAAGUGGUUUUGUUGAAUGUGGAUAUUGUGUGAUGAAGUACAUGAAAGAGAUAGUUGAAUGUGAAAAUCUACAUUUGGAGAAGAUGAUGAGUUUCUUCUUUAUGAUA
Molecule: long non-coding RNA, 789 nt
Organism: Zingiber officinale
Lineage: Eukaryota; Viridiplantae; Streptophyta; Magnoliopsida; Zingiberales; Zingiberaceae
Exons: 3
Source: RefSeq, a predicted model, not a curated record